CACACACACACACACUAGCCAGCCACUGCGCUGUAUCAUAUCAUCACUAAUGGCACUGCCCGAAUCUUCUACCGGACCGAAGUUUUAACUUGUAGGCUAAAUGUCCGUGCCAAGUUACGAUUCCAACGGAUCGUUGCUGUAGCCUACAGAAAACGUCAUCAUGGUUGUCAAAAAGUUAUAAGUUAAAGGGUUCACACGCAGUUUCCCGUAUCAAGAAUGAUCCACCACCCAAAGGACAUUCAGCCGACUCGACACAACUGUGGGAAGCAUUGGAGUCAACGUAGGCCAGCAUCCCCCCCCCCGUUAAACGCUUUAGACACUUGUCAUUUUGAGAUAUAUUCUUUGGUUGUCUAAAUUGUCUACAGGAAAUGUAAACCGACUUUGUGUAAAUACUAUAUACACGGCUCAAAAAAAAUAAAGGGAACACUUAAACAACACAAUGUAACUCCAAGUCAAUCACACUUCUGUGAAAUGAAUAUUUCAUUCAUUCAGAUCUAGGAUGUGUUAUUUUAGUGUUCCCUUUAUUUUUUUGAGCAG
Molecule: long non-coding RNA, 537 nt
Organism: Oncorhynchus tshawytscha (Chinook salmon)
Lineage: Eukaryota; Metazoa; Chordata; Actinopteri; Salmoniformes; Salmonidae
Source: Ensembl